UCUAUGUCAAACCCUAGCUCUCUUCUCGCGCUAAACUCUUCAUACCCUCUCUUAUCAAUCACUCACUCUUCCACCAUUAAUCCAUGAUUGCCGAAGAUCUUUCGAAGCAAGUCGUACUACCACCGCCGAAGUUCAUCGCGCUAUUGUUUCGUACGGACAGCAGUUCACUCUAUUUUCUCAUUCACUCUCUUGUUGUUAAUGUUGCUUACAAUCAUCGCGUGUUGGUGAUUGAUGGGAAAGAGAGAGUGUUGGUUUCUAAAUUCAUACACUAUCCUCGGAGUAUUCUGGAGGUUUGUUUUCUUUUUCUUGCUUUGAGAAUUUUUUUUUUGUAUCUAUAUCGGUUUUGUGGUUUCUUGAAUUUUAAAUGUGGCUAGGGAUAUUCAGAAAUCUAAGGAUGGAAGUUGUAUGUGAUCGAGGCUUAUGUGCUUUGGAAUCUACAUGAACGGGUUUGGAAUUUGGUACAUUUUUGUGAACUCAUCGAUUAAAAUUGGGGAGGGGGACAAUGAACGAAGUUUUGUCAUAAAAUCUAAUAAUUGUGAUGCUUUAAUAAGAAGGAUGUCUAUCUCAGUUGUGAGUUUUAAAUGUGUAGAUCUGUGUCUAUAAGUUGUUGCACGAAGUUAAAAAUUGCCGAUACAUUUUUAACUUUGUAUAUUGACAUCGCUUAGAAGAACUGAAAUGAUUUAUUUACCCAUCCAUUAAGUUUAGCCCUGAGUUCACUUGCAAUAGAAUUUCUUUGCUAGUGGUUGGUCGUGUUGUUGUAUGAAGCUUAUUGCAAACUUAAUUUUCACACUGCUAGCGGGCUUAUUUAUUCAAUGAAAAGUAUAUUGAAAGUUCACUAACUACGCAACUUUAUUUUUCUUUAGUUGUAUUUGUUAACCUUUUUUCUUUCUGUUCUAACUAACACAUUGGCAUGUUUGGUAUCAAAGGGGAUCUACUUGAUGUUGUUGUUCCUCCAUUGGCCAAGUCUAUUACUGAUGGAACGCUGGCAAAAUUCUUGAAGAAUCCGGAUGAUAGAGUAGAAUUGGAUGAAGCAUUUGCUCAAAUUGAAAUAGUUCAUUGUAGUUAUGGUUAAAUUGGCAGUAAUUGUUUUUCAAAGUGAUGGGAUGAGCAACAUUACUACGUGGAUUACAAAACAAAUUGUGUUUUGGUUGAUAGAGCGAUAUCAUCAUUUGAUUCUUUUGUGAACUUGAUUCAUACUGAAAUUCAGGUUGAGUCAUGUAUUGAACUUUCAAUUUUAAUUUGUUGACUAUAGGCGAUAAUGAUGUUCAACAUGUUAUUAAGAUUGUAAACAUACCAUAACAAAUGUAUCGACAAUACAUAAAGUGUAUCAUGCUUAGUGCAUCAGGUGUAUUUAAUUAAUUGAGUGUAUCAACAGUUUCGCAAGUGUAUCAA
This is a long non-coding RNA of Cucumis melo (muskmelon), 1392 nucleotides long. RefSeq lists it as uncharacterized. NCBI's taxonomy places the organism in Eukaryota, Viridiplantae, Streptophyta, Magnoliopsida, Cucurbitales, Cucurbitaceae. The transcript is spliced from 3 exons. The record is from RefSeq and is a predicted model, not a curated record.